AUUGAACGCUGGCGGAAUGCUUUACACAUGCAAGUCGAGCGGCAGCGCGGGGGCAACCCUGGCGGCGAGCGGCGAACGGGUGAGUAACAUAUCGGAACGUACCCUGUCGUGGGGGAUAACUAUCCGAAAGGAUAGCUAAUACCGCAUACGACCUGAGGGUGAAAGCGGGGGACCGCAAGGCCUCGCGCGAUAGGAGCGGCCGAUAUCGGAUUAGCUAGUUGGUGAGGUAAAGGCUCACCAAGGCGACGAUCCGUAGCGGGUCUGAGAGGACGAUCCGCCACACUGGAACUGAGACACGGUCCAGACUCCUACGGGAGGCAGCAGUGGGGAAUUUUGGACAAUGGGCGCAAGCCUGAUCCAGCCAUGCCGCGUGAGUGAAGAAGGCC
RNAcentral lists this ribosomal RNA (386 nucleotides) under uncultured bacterium. RNAcentral describes it as "bacterial SSU rRNA". It matches the Rfam family "Bacterial small subunit ribosomal RNA", at positions 29 to 416 of the family's 1533-position model. The record is from RNAcentral.